Molecule: microRNA precursor, 125 nt
Filed under: Microtus ochrogaster (prairie vole)
Lineage: Eukaryota; Metazoa; Chordata; Mammalia; Rodentia; Cricetidae
Description: miRNA (ENSMOCG00000006714.1)
Source: RNAcentral
GGUUUCUCUGUGUAGCCUUGGCUGUCCUGGAACUGACUCUUUAGACCAGGCUGGCCUUGAACUCAGAGAUCCACCUGACUCUGCCUCCCAAGUGCUGGGAUUAAAGGUGUGCACUUCCACUGCCC